AUUGAACGCUGGCGGCAGGCUUAACACAUGCAAGUCGAGCGGAUGAAGGGAGGUUGCUCCUGGGAUCAGGGGCGGACGGGUGAGUAAUGCCUAGGAACCUGCCUGGUAGUGGGGGAUAACGUCCGGAAACGGGCGCUCAUACCGCAGACGUCCUGAGGGAGAAAGGGGGGGACCUUCGGACCUUAGGCUGUCAGAUGAGCCAAGGUCGGAUUAGCUAGCUGGUGGGGUAAAGGCCUACCAAGGCGACGAUCCGUAAGUGGUCUGAGAGGAUGACCAGUCACACUGGAACUGAGACACGGUCCAGACUCCUACGGUGGGCAGCAGUGGGGAAUAUUGGGCAAUGGGCGAAAGCCUGAUCCAGCCAUGCCGCGGGUGUGAAGAAGGUCUUCGGAUUGUAAAGCACUUUAAGUUGGGGGGAAGGGCAGUAAGUUAAUACCUUGCUGUUUUGACGUUACCAACAGAAUAAGCACCGGCUAACUUCGUG
Molecule: ribosomal RNA, 484 nt
Filed under: uncultured bacterium
Lineage: Bacteria
Description: partial 16S ribosomal RNA
Rfam family: Bacterial small subunit ribosomal RNA
Source: RNAcentral